CGUAGGUCCCGAGCGUUAUCCGGAUUUAUUGGGGCGUAAAGCGAGCGCAGGCGGUUAGAUAAGUCUGAAGUUAAAGGCUGUGGCUUAACCAUAGUACGCUUUGGAAACUGUUUAACUUGAGUGCAAGAGGGGAGAGUGGAAUUCCAUGUGUAGCGGUGAAAUGCGUAGAUAUAUGGAGGAACACCGGUGGCGAAAGCGGCUCUCUGGCUUGUAACUGACGCUGAGGCUCGAAAGCGUGGGGAGCAAACAGGAUU
RNAcentral lists this ribosomal RNA (254 nucleotides) under uncultured bacterium. RNAcentral describes it as "partial 16S ribosomal RNA". It matches the Rfam family "Bacterial small subunit ribosomal RNA", at positions 526 to 779 of the family's 1533-position model. The record is from RNAcentral.